GUGCUCACUUUGGCAGCACAUAUACUAAAAUUGGAACAAUACAGAGAAGCUCAGCAUGGCCCCUGCACAAAGAUGACACACAAAUUUGUGAAGUGUUCCAUAUUUUU
This is a small nuclear RNA of Ictidomys tridecemlineatus (thirteen-lined ground squirrel), 107 nucleotides long. NCBI's taxonomy places the organism in Eukaryota, Metazoa, Chordata, Mammalia, Rodentia, Sciuridae. The record is from Ensembl.